CUUUGGGAGAGGAGACUUCAGCCCCUUACACAACAGUGAAGAUAAGCAGCUAUCUGCUGGUCCCCAUGCAGAGACACGUGAUGUAGAUAAGCAGCUAUCUGCUGGUCCCCAUGCAGAGACACGUGAUGUAGAUAAGCAGCUAUCUGCUGGUCCCCAUGCAGAGACAUGUGAUGUAGAUAAGCAGCUAUCUGCUGGUCCCCAUGCAGAGACACGUGAUGUAGAUAAGCAGCUAUCUGCUGGUCCCCAUGCAGAGACACGUGAUGUAGAUAAGCAGCUAUCUGCUGGUCCCCAUGCAGAGACACGUGAUGUAGAUAAGCAGCUAUCUGCUGGUCCCCAUGCAGAGACAUGUGAUGUGUGGGAUAUUUGUGUGGCUUUGUAAGGCUGGCAGAUGCAGUGUGGACUGGGGAGGAGGGUCAAAGGUUACAUACUGGCAGAGGCCAGAGGAGUUUUUCAAAAAAUGACCACAAGUUAUCAUCACUGUUGAACCCCCCUCUCUAAAGUCACAUCCUUUACACAUAUCAAUAUAUCCUAACUUUAACACAGUAUCUAUUAUCUCAUUUGGCCUCUAAUAAUUUAGUACAAUAAGGUUGUUGACUGUAAAGUAAGUUUAAGUAGGUUAAGUCAGUGCCAGACCAUCCCAGUUCCCACAGCAUGACAACCACUUCCUCAGCACAGCAGUCCUCCAUGUUGGAGCCACAACAGAUAAAGAGCUCAGAACGGCCCUUACCCUGUCAUUCCUACACUAAUAGCUCUAUCAGAUGGUCCCUGUUGGUCUAAUAAGAUGUGUUGCCAUGGCUCUGUCUCUGCAGUGAUGGGUCAUCUGUUGCCGUGGGCGUCCCGUGGUGGAGACACAAGCAGACAGGCACUCCCCUACCCACCGCCCCUCACUCACGGCCCGCUAGUCUGACGCACGCCACGGGAGAUGCCAUUUGAUUCCCAUUAACCACUGGGCCAAAAGACAGAGAGAGGGAAGGGGAGGGGAGGGGGAGAGAGGCUAAAGUGAGAGAAAGAGAGGGAGAUGAAGUGAGGAAAAGAGAGAGAGGAGGAGAGACGAGGGAGGGAGGGAGAAAAUGAGAGGUAAAUUAAAACUGAAAGAGAGAGGGGUGGGGAUGAAGAGAGGGAGAUAAGGAGUGAGAGCAUGUUUCCUUCCUCCCAGACUGCACUUCACUACCCCAAGUGUAAAUGCCCGUUGAGAGGCGGCCAGACAACGCCUGUUCACACGGAGUGAAGGACCUGUUGAGAGGCAGCCAGACAUCUCCUGUUCACACGGAGUGAAGGACCUGUUAAGAGACAGCCAGACAUCUCCUGUUCACACGGAGUGAAGGACCUGUUGAGAGGCGGCCAG
This 1345-nucleotide long non-coding RNA is filed under the name Salmo salar (Atlantic salmon). RNAcentral describes it as "lncRNA (ENSSSAG00000093097.1)". The record is from RNAcentral. Lineage: Eukaryota; Metazoa; Chordata; Actinopteri; Salmoniformes; Salmonidae.